Molecule: small nucleolar RNA, 117 nt
Filed under: Myotis lucifugus (little brown bat)
Lineage: Eukaryota; Metazoa; Chordata; Mammalia; Chiroptera; Vespertilionidae
Description: Small nucleolar RNA SNORD116
Rfam family: Small nucleolar RNA SNORD116
About the family: HBII-85 is a member of the C/D class of snoRNAs, which contain the C (UGAUGA) and D (CUGA) box motifs. HBII-85 is encoded in a tandemly repeated array with another C/D snoRNA, HBII-52, in the Prader-Willi syndrome (PWS) region of chromosome 15. Unlike most other snoRNAs, HBII-85 is expressed prevalently in the brain (but is absent in PWS patients) and lacks any significant complementarity with ribosomal RNA.
Source: Rfam by way of RNAcentral
GGAUCGAUGAUGACUCCCUCAAAAAAAAAACAACAGCCAAACCAACAUUCCUUGGAAAAGCUGAACAAAAUGAGUGAGAACUACACCCGUCGUCGUUCUCAUCGGUAACUGAGGUCC